This 820-nucleotide ribosomal RNA is filed under the name uncultured Anaerovibrio sp. Its description in RNAcentral is "bacterial SSU rRNA". It matches the Rfam family "Bacterial small subunit ribosomal RNA", at positions 36 to 842 of the family's 1533-position model. Lineage: Bacteria; Bacillati; Bacillota; Negativicutes; Selenomonadales; Selenomonadaceae. The record is from RNAcentral.
CGGGCCGCGUGCUUACCAUGCAAGUCGAACGGAGAUUCAGCAAUGGAUCUUAGUGGCGAACGGGUGAGUAACGCGUAGGCAAUCUGCCUUCUAGAUGGGGACAACAUCCCGAAAGGGGUGCUAAUACCGAAUGUUGUAAUUGGUUCGCAUGGACUAGCUACUAAAGGUGGCCUCUGAAUAUGCUACCGCUAGAAGAUGAGCCUGCGUCUGAUUAGCUAGUUGGAGGGGUAACGGCCCACCAAGGCUUCGAUCAGUAGCCGGUCUGAGAGGAUGAACGGCCACACUGGGACUGAGACACGGCCCAGACUCCUACGGGAGGCAGCAGUGGGGAAUCUUCCGCAAUGGACGAAAGUCUGACGGAGCAACGCCGCGUGAGUGAAGAAGGUUUUCGGAUCGUAAAGCUCUUUCGUUAGGGACGAACGUGCUCUUUGUGAAUAAUGAGGAGUAAUGACGGUACCUAAAUAAGAAGCCACGGCUAACUACGUGCCAGCAGCCGCGGUAAUACGUAGGUGGCAAGCGUUGUCCGGAAUUAUUGGGCGUAAAGCGCGCGCAGGCGGGAUAUCAAGUCUGUCUUAAAAGUGCGAGGCUCAACCUCGUGAGGGGACGGAAACUGGUAUUCUUGAGUGUCGGAGAGGAAAGUGGAAUUCCAAGUGUAGCGGUGAAAUGCGUAGAGAUUUGGAAGAACACCAGUGGCGAAGGCGACUUUCUGGACGAUGUCUGACGCUGAGGCGCGAAAGCUAGGGGAGCGAACGGGAUUAGAUACCCCGGUAGUCCUAGCCGUAAACGAUGGGUACUAGGUGUAGGGGGUAUCGACCCCUCC